This 385-nucleotide ribosomal RNA is filed under the name uncultured bacterium. RNAcentral's name for it is "bacterial SSU rRNA". It matches the Rfam family "Bacterial small subunit ribosomal RNA", at positions 29 to 439 of the family's 1533-position model. The record is from RNAcentral.
AACGAACGCUGGCGGCAGGCUUAACACAUGCAAGUCGAACGCCCCGCAAGGGGAGUGGCAGACGGGUGAGUAACGCGUGGGAAUCUACCCAGUUCUACGGAACAACACAGGGGAAACUUGUGCUAAUACCGUAUACGCCUACCGGGGGAAAGGAAUUUAAUCGGAAUUGGAUGAGCCCGCGUAAGAUUAGCUAGUUGGUGGGGUAAGUGGCCUACCAAGGCGACGAUCUUUAGCUGGUCUGAGAGGAUGAUCAGCCACACUGGGACUGAGACACGGCCCAGACUCCUACGGGAGGCAGCAGUGGGGAAUAUUGGACAAUGGGCGCAAGCCUGAUCCAGCCAUGCCGCGUGAGUGAUGAAGGCCUUAGGGUGUAAAGCUCUUUCAG